CGGGGUGUAGCGCAGUUUGGUUAGCGCGCGUGUUUUGGGAACACGAGGUCGCCGGUUCGAGUCCGGCCACCCCGACCA
RNAcentral lists this transfer RNA (78 nucleotides) under Pseudomonadota bacterium. RNAcentral describes it as "tRNA-Pro". It matches the Rfam family "tRNA". From Rfam's summary of the family: Transfer RNA (tRNA) molecules are approximately 80 nucleotides in length. Their secondary structure includes four short double-helical elements and three loops (D, anti-codon, and T loops). Lineage: Bacteria; Pseudomonadati; Pseudomonadota. RNAcentral also lists the same sequence under 1 other name. The record is from RNAcentral.